This 460-nucleotide ribosomal RNA is filed under the name uncultured bacterium. RNAcentral's name for it is "partial 16S ribosomal RNA". It matches the Rfam family "Bacterial small subunit ribosomal RNA", at positions 338 to 795 of the family's 1533-position model. The record is from RNAcentral.
ACUACGGGAGGCAGCAGUGAGGAAUAUUGGUCAAUGGGCGGAAGCCUGAACCAGCCAAGUAGCGUGCAGGAUGACGGCCCUACGGGUUGUAAACUGCUUUUAUACGGGAAUAACGCGCCUUACGUGUAGGGCUUUGCAUGUACCGUAUGAAUAAGGACCGGCUAAUUCCGUGCCAGCAGCCGCGGUAAUACGGAAGGUCCGGGCGUUAUCCGGAUUUAUUGGGUUUAAAGGGAGCGUAGGCCGCAUGUCAAGCGUGCUGUGAAAUGUCCGGGCUCAACCCGGGCCUUGCAGCGCGAACUGGCGUGCUUGAGUCCGCGGAAAGCAGGCGGAAUUCGUCGUGUAGCGGUGAAAUGCUUAGAUAUGACGAAGAACCCCGAUUGCGAAGGCAGCUUGCUGCAGCGGAACGGACGCUGAUGCUCGAAAGCGCGGGUAUCGAACAGGAUUAGAUACCCGGGUAGUC